GAUGAACGCUGGCGGCGUGCCUAAUACAUGCAAGUCGAACGCUUCACUUCGGUGAAGAGUGGCGAACGGGUGAGUAAUACAUAAGUAACCUGGCAUCUACAGGGGGAUAACUGAUGGAAACGUCAGCUAAGACCGCAUAGGUGUAGAGAUCGCAUGAACUCUAUAUGAAAAGUGCUACGGGACUGGUAGAUGAUGGACUUAUGGCGCAUUAGCUUGUUGGUAGGGUAACGGCCUACCAAGGCGACGAUGCGUAGCCGACCUGAGAGGGUGACCGGCCACACUGGGACUGAGACACGGCCCAGUCUCCUACGGGAGGCAGCAGUAGGGAAUUUUCGGCAAUGGGGGAAACCCUGACCGAGCAACGCCGCGUGAAGGAAGAAGUAAUUCGUUAUGUAAACUUCUGUCAUAGAGGAAGAACGGUGGAUAUAGGGAAUGAUAUCCAAGUGACGG
Molecule: ribosomal RNA, 450 nt
Filed under: uncultured bacterium
Lineage: Bacteria
Description: bacterial SSU rRNA
Rfam family: Bacterial small subunit ribosomal RNA
Source: RNAcentral